GGCUUUUGUUUUACCGCCAACUGGUAAAGUGUUGUUCUUCUUUCUGGAGUCAGAGUUGGAUAACUCCAGUCCACUGGGUUUAAGCAGUGCAUAAGCGCUACAGGGCCGCUGUACGAGGCCGACGUGUCGAGUUAUCUGCCUUCAGGCCGAAGCGCUGGGUACACCCAGUCCAGUGGAGCUCUGCAACGGACGGGGGCGCUACUGCCUUGCGAAUCGCAGGGCCUUGACGCCUCAAAACAGGGAUGUGAACCAGAGGAGCAGUUCGGGAAGCAGUACCUACUGAUUCCUCGGGAAAAGAGGUAAGAUUGCGCGGCAGGAGCUAUUCGUUGCCACUGAGCGAAACUGCGCGUCUCUGGCGGUUACACUCGAAUUCGCGGUAGCUCCGACGCUGUACAGACUGGGAAAGUACAUAUAUAGCGUUAUGACAAAGCACAGGGGCACAGCUAAUGGAGACUCGUGCAUGCACCUGCCGGCAACCCGAGCGGAGCGCACGUGCUAGACGAUUGCAGUAUGGAUCUUCGUUCCAGACAGCACAGAAAAUUGUAGAGCGUUGCUCCAGAAGAAGUUGAGAAAGAUCUACGCUUUAGAGCGGACGGUGGCAGCUCUCUACAACCCUUCCGUCGAGAUGCUGAAAGCGCGAUGCUCCCGAUAUCGCCAUGGCUCCUGGGGGAGCGCCCAGCCCGCUACACGCCUCCGUACGCUCUCUUCACCACAGACGCGAUGCACUGACCUACUCACAUGGCAGUUGGUCGGAUCCGGCAUGCACCCUUGACAGACAAGGGUUUCAAGGGUGUUUUCGAUCUUGAUACGGGACAGGUGUGGGUAGAUGGUUUCGAUGCCGCAGUUCCAAGGCAUUUGUGAGCCUCGCUUCAGACGAGGGCAGGCUUGGUGCCACUUUGCGCGUCGCGUUUCCGGUCGAUGGUUCGCGUUCCAACGAUAUGUACCUUGUCUGCAUCCGGCGCUCAAAAUAGAUUCGGUAUAGUAUCCGUGAAUCAGAGAACAGGUGCCUGGGAGGCUCUGCGUCUCGCCAGCUGCCUUGCUGCUAAACAGAUCAACUCCGUGCUCUGCGAAGAAUGGAUAUGCGGCACCACUUGAACUUGCUACGACAGGGCUCUUAACUGUAUAGACACAAUGGAUCGCUGACUUUGAUAGAGACGCUGUCCGAGGGAUGUUCGCACGCGAUGUCCGUUCGACACCAAGUAGAUGCGCAGUGUCGCGGUGAACCUCGUUCCAACCUUGAUCGAGGAUCUGCGCGUACAUUUUCAGUGUCGUGCUUCUCAGCGCAUAUCUGGACCACAUAGAAGCGGCGCUCUUCCUAGACCAGUGCUCAAUAUGGGAUUCUGCGGCUGAUGAGCGUGCGGGUGCUCGCACUCUCGUGCCUCCAUCCCGUGCAGGAGAGACGGCUUCCUCUUCACACAGAAUGGAACGCACUGCCUCUGGUUCUGGAGAUUUGUGCAUUUUGGGACCCCUAGAGCCGGUCAUAGGCGUUCGUUCCGUGUUGUGGAUCAGGUACGUCACACAGUAAGUGUAGUUCGGGGUCUCAAACGGUGCGCUGGAACAACGUGCAUGGAUCAGAUGCGAAAACUCCACUGCGAAUUUUGCACCACAUGUUGCACGCUCAGAUCGAUGACGUCGUAUUCUGGGUCAGUCGCUACGAUGAUUCGGACGCCUUUAGGUCGUGGACAAUGCAUCAAGUCUCUUCGGGCGCCGCACUGACAGAAGUCGGCACCAGAAGCGAACUAAAGAACCACGCGGAUGCGGUGGCGCUGAUCGAGACACAUAUUUGUGGAUAGCGCUUGGGCGAUAGGGAUUGCCAUUCCGUAACGGUGAAGAGAUGAUACCAAGUACCGUUCGUCUGGCUACAAACCGAGACGGAAAUGGUAGUCUAGGGUUCUUCUGAGGCGCGUUUCUAUGUCUUUCAGUUCCGAUGAUGGGAGGUCCUUUCCAUGGCAACGUGCAUGUUGCCGAUAUUCCCCAAAAUCUCGCACGAGUGUCCAGCAGUGAUUUAUCUGCCACUGUUCGCUUGAUGAUCUGUCUGGUGCAGCAGAUACUGCAUGCAGAUUAUAUGUACAUGUCGAUGAAACAAAAAAACUGACCCACGACCAUGGACGGUAAACCGA
Cyanidioschyzon merolae strain 10D is the source of this 2120-nucleotide RNA transcript. RefSeq lists it as hypothetical. The transcript has a single exon. NCBI's taxonomy places the organism in Eukaryota, Rhodophyta, Bangiophyceae, Cyanidiales, Cyanidiaceae. The record is from RefSeq and is a predicted model, not a curated record.